UAUAUACUCCCUCCGCCCGGAAAUACUUGUCGGAGAAAUGGAUGUAUCUAGACGUAUUUUAGUUCUAGAUACAUCCAAUUUUAUCUAUUUGUGCGACAAGUAUUUCCGGACGGAGGGAGUAGAAA
Non-coding RNA from Triticum aestivum (bread wheat), 125 nucleotides. NCBI's taxonomy places the organism in Eukaryota, Viridiplantae, Streptophyta, Magnoliopsida, Poales, Poaceae. The record is from Rfam.